RNAcentral lists this ribosomal RNA (620 nucleotides) under uncultured bacterium. RNAcentral describes it as "bacterial SSU rRNA". It matches the Rfam family "Bacterial small subunit ribosomal RNA", at positions 97 to 706 of the family's 1533-position model. The record is from RNAcentral.
GGCGAACGGGUGAGUAACACGUGGGUAAUCUCCCCUCGAGUGAGGAAUAACUCCGCGAAAGCGGAGAUAAUACCGCAUAAUAUUCUGGAGCAUAUGCUUUCAGAAUCAAAGCUUUCCGAGCAAUCGGAUGGCGCUUGAGGAUGAGCCUGCGUCCUAUUAGCUAGUUGGUAGGGUAAUGGCCUACCAAGGUAAUGAUGGGUAGCCGGCCUGAGAGGGUGUACGGCCACACUGGGACUGCGACACGGCCCAGACUCCUACGGGAGGCAGCAGUGGGGAAUUUUGCGCAAUGGGCGAAAGCCUGACGCAGCGACGCCGCGUGGAGGAUGAAGGCCUUCGGGUUGUAAACUCCUGUCAGAGGAAAAGAAACCCCGAUUUAUCGGGGCUGACGGUAUCCUCAGAGGAAGCCCCGGCUAACUACGUGCCAGCAGCCGCGGUAAUACGUAGGGGGCAAACGUUGCUCGGAAUUACUGGGCGUAAAGGGUGUGUAGGUGGCUGAAUAAGUCAAAGAUGAAAUCCCAAGGCUCAACCUUGGAACUGUCUUUGAAACUGUUCAGCUUGAGGAUAGUAGAGGAGGACGGAAUUCCCGGUGGAGCGGUGAAAUGCGUAGAUAUCGGGAGGAA